GCUGACCAGCUAGCCCACCCUAACAAAAACAACAACCCAAUAUAAAUAACCCCAAACACACUACUCCUCCUAUAAACAAACCAUUUUACCCCCCUAGUAUGGGCGACAGAAAAGGAACUAUUGGAGCGAUAGAGAAAGUACCGCAAGGGAACGCUGAAAGAGAAAUGAAAUAACCCAGUAAAGCCUAAAAAAGCAGAGAUUUUACCUCGUACCUUUUGCAUCAUGAUUUAGCUAGUACUACCCAAGCAAAGAGAACUUUAGUUUGGACCCCCGAAACUAGGUGAGCUACUCCAAGACAGCCUAUCAAUAGGGCAAACCCGUCUCUGUGGCAAAAGAGUGGGAAGAGCUUUGAGUAGAGGUGACAGACCUACCGAACCUAGUUAUAGCUGGUUGCCUGAGAAUUGGAUAGGAGUUCAGCCUCCAGGCUUCUCUAUUCACCGCGGUCUUACCCCUACCGAUGCACUAAAGAAGCCUAGAGAGUUAAUCAAAGGGGGUACAGCCCCUUUGAGACAAGAUACAACUUUUCCAGGAGGGUAAAGAUCAUAUUUACCCAAGGUAACAAUGCCCAGGUGGGCCUAAAAGCAGCCAUCCUUACAGAAAGCGUUAAAGCUCAAGCAUUACACCUUCCCACAUAUUCAGAUAACCANAUCCCAACCCCCUAAUAUUAUCAGGCCAUCUCAUGCAUACAUGAGAGUGCACAUGCUAAUAUGAGUAACAAGAGAGCCUCCGCCUCUCUCCUUGCACACGUGUAAAUCGGAACGAACCCCCACCGAAACUUAACGGCCCCAAACAAAGAGGGCAAUGAACAACAAGUAAGCAACCAGAAAACCAUCCAAAAAACAACCGUUAACCCCACACUGGUGUGCCAUUAAGGAAAGACUAAAAGAAAAAGAAGGAACUCGGCAAACAUACCAAGCCUCGCCUGUUUACCAAAAACAUCGCCUCUUGCAAAAACAAAGAAUAAGAGGUCCAGCCUGCCCUGUGACUAUAUGUUUAACGGCCGCGGUAUUUUAACCGUGCGAAGGUAGCGCAAUCACUUGUCUUUUAAAUGGAGACCUGUAUGAAUGGCAUUACGAGGGCUUAACUGUCUCCUUUUUCUAGUCAGUGAAAUUGAUCUCCCCGUGCAGAAGCGGGGAUNUAACCAUAAGACGAGAAGACCCUAUGGAGCUUUAGACACCAAGGCAUAUCAUGUCAAACACCCCUAAACAAAGGACUAAACCAAAUGAAUCAUGCCCCCAUGUCUUUGGUUGGGGCGACCGCGGGGAAAUAAAAAACCCCCACGUGGAAUGGGAGUACUACCUCCUACAACCAAGAGCUGCAGCUCUAAAAAACAGAAUAUCUGACCAAUAAGAUCCGGCAACGCCGAUCAACGGACCGAGUUACCCUAGGGAUAACAGCGCAAUCCCCUUUUAGAGCCCAUAUCGACAAGGGGGUUUACGACCUCGAUGUUGGAUCAGGACAUCCUAAUGGUGCAGCCGCUGUUAAGGGUUCGUUUGUUCAACGAUUAAAGUCCUACGUGAUCUGAGUUCAGACCGGAGUAAUCCAGGUCAGUUUCUAUCUAUGAUAUGUUCUUUUCUAGUACGAAAGGACCGAAAAGAAGAGGCCAAUGCUAAAAGCACGCCUCACCCCUCCUAUUGAAAACAACUAAAAUAGGCAAAAGGGCAUACCCCUCCACGCCCAAGAUAAUGGCAUGUUGGGGUGGCAGAGCCCGGUUAUUGCAAAAGACCUAAGCCCUUUUCACAGAGGUUCAAGUCCUCUCCCCAACUAUGAUUACCGCUCUAAUAACCCAUAUUCUCAAUCCCCUGGCUUUUAUCGUACCAGUCCUUCUCGCCGUAGCNUUCCUCACCCUCAUUGAACGAAAAGUACUAGGCUACAUACAACUACGAAAAGGCCCAAAUAUCGUUGGGCCCUACGGACUUCUUCAACCAAUUGCGGACGGGGUAAAAUUAUUNAUUAAAGAGCCUGUCCGACCCUCAACUUCCUCCCCUGUCCUAUUCCUGCUUGCCCCUAUACUUGCCUUAACACUCGCACUAACCCUCUGAGCUCCAAUGCCCCUCCCAUACCCCGUCACUGACCUCAACCUAGGAAUUCUAUUCAUCCUGGCCCUAUCAAGCCUUGCCGUCUACUCUAUUUUAGGCUCAGGCUGAGCAUCUAAUUCUAAAUAUGCCCUUAUCGGGGCCCUGCGGGCCGUAGCCCAAACCAUUUCAUACGAAGUCAGCCUCGGACUCAUUCUUCUAAACGCCAUCAUCUUUACAGGUGGCUUCACNCUACAAACCUUUAACAUCGCCCAAGAAGCAAUUUGACUAAUUAUUCCCGCCUGACCAUUAGCUGCAAUAUGAUACAUUUCUACCCUAGCAGAAACAAACCGGGCACCCUUUGACCUCACCGAAGGAGAAUCAGAACUGGUCUCAGGCUUUAACGUUGAAUAUGCAGGAGGUCCCUUCGCCNUAUUCUUCCUGGCAGAAUAUGCAAAUAUCCUACUCAUGAACACACUCUCCGCCACACUCUUCUUAGGGGCAUCCCACAUCCCAACAAUUCCAGAGCUAACCGCUACCAACCUAAUGAUUAAAGCUGCCCUCCUCUCAAUAGUCUUCCUAUGAGUGCGAGCCUCCUACCCACGAUUCCGAUACGACCAGCUUAUACACCUUAUCUGAAAAAACUUCCUACCCCUGACGCUAGCCCUGGUAAUUUG
This 2692-nucleotide ribosomal RNA is filed under the name Thunnus maccoyii (southern bluefin tuna). Its description in RNAcentral is "16S ribosomal RNA". The stretch from base 87 to 1706 matches the Rfam family "Bacterial large subunit ribosomal RNA". The record is from RNAcentral. Lineage: Eukaryota; Metazoa; Chordata; Actinopteri; Scombriformes; Scombridae.